GUCCACGCUGUAAACGAUGGGUGCUAGCCGUCGGGACAUACGUCUCGGUGGUGCAGCAAACGCGUUAAGCACCCCGCCUGGGGAGUACGGUCGCAAGAUUAAAACUCAAAGAAAUUGACGGGGACCCGCACAAGCGGUGGAACAUGUGGUUUAAUUCGAGGCAACGCGAAGAACCUUAUCCAGGAAUUGACAUGCCCUCUUUGAAACUCUGAAAGGAGUUUCUUCACUUCGGGUGGGAGGUGCACAGGUGCUGCAUGGCUGUCGU
RNAcentral lists this ribosomal RNA (265 nucleotides) under uncultured bacterium. RNAcentral describes it as "partial 16S ribosomal RNA". It matches the Rfam family "Bacterial small subunit ribosomal RNA", at positions 793 to 1055 of the family's 1533-position model. The record is from RNAcentral.